RNAcentral lists this transfer RNA (77 nucleotides) under Heterosigma akashiwo. Lineage: Eukaryota; Raphidophyceae; Chattonellales; Chattonellaceae. The record is from RNAcentral.
GGUAGACGCGGCCCGCGCCGCAGGCCAGAGCCGCGCGCGCCGCGAGCCGCGCGGCACCUUGCAUGCCGGGUGCCCCG